This 1491-nucleotide ribosomal RNA is filed under the name Triticum aestivum (bread wheat). RNAcentral's name for it is "partial small subunit ribosomal RNA". The record is from RNAcentral. Lineage: Eukaryota; Viridiplantae; Streptophyta; Magnoliopsida; Poales; Poaceae.
AUGGCCGGCAACGGCGACGCCGCCGUCCACACGCCCCACUCCGCGCCGCCGACGGCACCGUCGGCGCGCGUGUCGAUCUGGGAGUCGGUGCGCGCGUGCGGGGUGUGGGGCCGGGACGUCGACAAGGCCGAGCUGCGGCGCCGCGUCGUCAUGCCGCUCUACGCGCGGAGGGCCGUGGCCGCCGCCGUCGCCGAGAAGGACGAGGCCGCCGGCGUGGCGGCCGCCGCGGCGGCGAGGGACGAGGCGGUGGGCGGCGGGGAGGGGGAGGACGGGCUGGAGGUGGUGGCGCCGAUGGUCGUGUUCGUCAACUCCAAGAGCGGCGGGCGCCACGGGCCCGAGCUCAAGGUGCGGCUCCACGAGCUCAUCAGCAAGGAGCAGGUCUUCGAUCUUUCUACUGUGAAGCCUUCUGAUUUUGUUCGUUAUGGUUUGGGCUGUUUGGAGAGGUUGGCUGAUCAAGGUGAUAACUGUGCAAAGGACAUCCGUGCAAAUUUGAGGAUUAUGGUUGCUGGAGGUGAUGGCACUGUUGGUUGGGUACUUGGAUGUCUCCAAGAACUUAAUAAGUCGAAAAGGGAACCAGUUCCUCCCACAGGAAUCAUUCCACUCGGGACAGGAAAUGACCUUGCUAGAUCAUUUGGAUGGGGUGGCUCUUUUCCCUUUGGUUGGCGUUCAGCUGUAAAGCGAUAUCUCAACAAGGCAGUGUCUGCUUCGGUCGUCCAUCUUGACAGUUGGCAGGCUGUGAUUAGGAUGCCAGAGGGAGAAAUAACAGAGUUGCCACAUGCACUUAAGAAAGCGGAACCUGCCGAUCAGCUGGAGUUCAGCAAGGCGAGUGGCAGUGAGUUAACCGAAAAAGCUUCAUGCUAUAAAGGAGUAUUCUACAACUACCUUAGCAUUGGGAUGGAUGCCCAAGUUGCAUAUGGCUUCCACCAUCUACGAGAUGAAAAGCCAUAUCUUGCUCAAGGACCAGUUGCAAAUAAGUUGAUUUAUGCUGGAUAUAGCUGCACACAGGGAUGGUUCUGUACUCCUUGUACAGCAAGUCCUCAGCUAAGGGGACUUCGGAACAUUUUGCGGCUUUACAUUAAAAGGGCAAAUUGUUCUGAAUGGGAGCAAAUUCAAAUGCCUUCAAGUGUUAGAUCCAUAGUGGUCUUAAAUCUGGACAACUACGCCAGUGGAAAGCAUCCAUGGGGUGAUCUUAAACCGGAUUAUCUUGAAAAGAAAGGUUUUGUUGAAGCUCAUUCAGACGACGGUUUGAUUGAAAUAUUUGGUCUGAAAGAAGGUUGGCAUGCUUCAUUCGUUAUGGCUGAGCUUAUCAAAGCAAAGCACAUUGCUCAGGCUGCAGCUAUCAAGUUUGAAAUGAGGGGAGGCGAGUGGGAUCGAGCAUAUGUUCAAAUGGACGGCGAGCCAUGGAAACAACCACUCAUCCAGGACCAGUCGACAAUUGUGGAAAUAAACAAGGUUCCGUAUCACUCCCGGAUGAUAAACGGGGAUUCAUGA